CCUACGGGAGGCAGCAGUGGGGAAUCUUGCGCAAUGGGCGAAAGCCUGACGCAGCCAUGCCGCGUGAAUGAUGAAGGUCUUAGGAUUGUAAAAUUCUUUUCACCGGGGACGAUAAUGACGGUACCCGGAGAAGAAGCCCCGGCUAACUUCGUGCCAGCAGCCGCGGUAAUACGAAGGGGGGCUAGCGUUGCUCGGAAUUACUGGGCGUAAAGGGAGCGUAGGCGGAUAGUUUAGUCAGAGGUGAAAGCCCAGGGCUCAACCUUGGAAUUGCCUUUGAUACUGGCUAUCUUGAGUAUGGGAGAGGUUAGCGGAACUCCGAGUGUAGAGGUGAAAUUCGUAGAUAUUCGGAAGAACACCAGUGGCGAAGGCGGCUAACUGGCCCAUUACUGACGCUGAGGCUCGAAAGCGUGGGGAGCAAACAGGAUUAGAUACCCUGGUAGUCCACGCCGUAAACGAUGAGUGCUAGUUGUCGGCAUGCAUGCAUGUCGGUGGACGCAGCUAACGACAUUAAGACACCUCCGCCGUGGGAGGUACGGUCGCGAGAUAAACUAACGAAGAAGUUAGAGNGUUGAGAGNGCGACGGCGACGACGAGGGAGGAGG
RNAcentral lists this ribosomal RNA (601 nucleotides) under uncultured bacterium. RNAcentral describes it as "bacterial SSU rRNA". The stretch from base 1 to 523 matches the Rfam family "Bacterial small subunit ribosomal RNA", at positions 338 to 873 of the family's 1533-position model. The record is from RNAcentral.